UACGUAGGGUGCGAGCGUUGUCCGGAAUUAUUGGGCGUAAAGAGCUUGUAGGCGGUUUGUCGCGUCUGCUGUGAAAAUCCGAGGCUCAACCUCGGACUUGCAGUGGGUACGGGCAGACUAGAGUGUGGUAGGGGAGACUGGAAUUCCUGGUGUAGCGGUGGAAUGCGCAGAUAUCAGGAGGAACACCGAUGGCGAAGGCAGGUCUCUGGGCCACUACUGACGCUGAGAAGCGAAAGCAUGGGGAGCGAACAGG
This 253-nucleotide ribosomal RNA is filed under the name uncultured bacterium. Its description in RNAcentral is "partial 16S ribosomal RNA". It matches the Rfam family "Bacterial small subunit ribosomal RNA", at positions 524 to 776 of the family's 1533-position model. The record is from RNAcentral.